CUAAUACAUGCAAGUCGAGGGGUAGUGGAGCUUGCUCCAUGAGACCGGCGCACGGGUGCGUAACGCGUAUGCAACCUACCUUUAUCUGGGGGAUAGCCCGAAGAAAUUCGGAUUAACACCGCAUAAAAUCACAGUACCGCAUGGUACAAUGAUCAAAUAUUCAUAGGAUAGAGAUGGGCAUGCGUGUCAUUAGUUAGUUGGCGGGGUAACGGCCCACCAAGACCGCGAUGACUAGGGGAUCUGAGAGGAUGACCCCCCACACUGGUACUGAGACACGGGCCAGACUCCUACGGGAGGCAGCAGUAAGGAAUAUUGGUCAAUGGAGGCAACUCUGAACCAGCCAUGCCGCGUGCAGGAAGACAGCCCUCUGGGUCGUAAACUGCUUUUAUUCGGGAAUAAACCUGCUUACGUGUAAGCAGCUGAAUGUACCGAAGGAAUAAGGAUCGGCUAACUCCGUGCCAGCAGCCGCGGUAAUACGGAGGAUCCAAGCGUUAUCCGGAUUUAUUGGGUUUAAAGGGUGCGUAGGCGGCCUGUUAAGUCAGGGGUGAAAGACGGUAGCUCAACUAUCGCAGUGCCCUUGAUACUGAUGGGCUUGAAUACACUAGAGGUAGGCGGAAUGUGACAAGUAGCGGUGAAAUGCAUAGAUAUGUCACAGAACACCGAUUGCGAAGGCAGCUUACUAUGGUGUCAUUGACGCUGAGGCACGAAAGCGUGGGGAUCAAACAGGAUUAGAUACCCUGGUAGUCCACGCCCUAAACGAUGAAUACUCGCUGUUAGCGAUAUACAGUUAGCGGCUAAGCGAAAGCGUUAAGUAUUCCACCUGGGGAGUACGCCCGCAAGGGUGAAACUCAAAGGAAUUGACGGGGGCCCGCACAAGCGGAGGAGCAUGUGGUUUAAUUCGAUGAUACGCGAGGAACCUUACCCGGGCUUGAAAGUUAGUG
RNAcentral lists this ribosomal RNA (941 nucleotides) under uncultured bacterium. RNAcentral's name for it is "bacterial SSU rRNA". It matches the Rfam family "Bacterial small subunit ribosomal RNA", at positions 48 to 993 of the family's 1533-position model. The record is from RNAcentral.